AGAACGAACGCUGGCGGCAUGCCUAAUACAUGCAAGUCGAACGAACACUUCGGUGUUAGUGGCGCACGGGUGCGUAACGCGUGGGAAUCUGCCCUUGGGUUCGGAAUAACAGUUGGAAACGACUGCUAAUACCGGAUGAUAUCGAAAGAUCAAAGAUUUAUCGCCCAGGGAUGAGCCCGCGUAGGAUUAGCUAGUUGGUGAGGUAAAGGCUCACCAAGGCGACGAUCCUUAGCUGGUCUGAGAGGAUGAUCAGCCACACUGGGACUGAGACACGGCCCAGACUCCUACGGGAGGCAGCAGUAGGGAAUAUUGGACAAUGGGC
RNAcentral lists this ribosomal RNA (322 nucleotides) under uncultured soil bacterium. RNAcentral describes it as "bacterial SSU rRNA". It matches the Rfam family "Bacterial small subunit ribosomal RNA", at positions 26 to 376 of the family's 1533-position model. The record is from RNAcentral.